CAAAGCUGACACAGAAAAAAUAUAACAGAAAGUAACUGUUUUCCCUUCAUCUCAUUAACUGGAAUGCAGAGAAGUAUUCAAAUGUAGCCGAGGCUUUCUAUAAGUUGGAUGACUUGGCAAUUCUCACUGUUUUCUGAAGCUUGAUCCGUGCAGUGAAAACCUGACGGUUGUCUUGAAGGCCUUAGAUUCAGAAAAGACUGAAGUAAACAUCAUCACAGCCUGAUCAUAAUAUGCUGAAUAGUUAAAAUCCAUGCUGUUUCUCUUC
Molecule: long non-coding RNA, 265 nt
Organism: Lagopus leucura (white-tailed ptarmigan)
Lineage: Eukaryota; Metazoa; Chordata; Aves; Galliformes; Phasianidae
Exons: 3
Source: RefSeq, a predicted model, not a curated record